GGCGGCGUGCUUAACACAUGCAAGUCGAACGAAGAGCGAUGGAAGCUUGCUUCUAUCAAUCUUAGUGGCGAACGGGUGAGUAACGCGUAAUCAACCUGCCCUUCAGAGGGGGACAACAGUUGGAAACGACUGCUAAUACCGCAUACGAUCUAACCUCGGCAUCGAGGAUAGAUGAAAGGUGGCCUCUACAUGUAAGCUAUCACUGAAGGAGGGGAUUGCGUCUGAUUAGCUAGUUGGAGGGGUAACGGCCCACCAAGGCGAUGAUCAGUAGCCGGUCUGAGAGGAUGAACGGCCACAUUGGGACUGAGACACGGCCCAGACUCCUACGGGAGGCAGCAGUGGGGAAUCUUCCGCAAUGGACGAAAGUCUGACGGAGCAACGCCGCGUGAGUGAUGACGGCCUUCGGGUUGUAAAGCUUUG
This 420-nucleotide ribosomal RNA is filed under the name Veillonella parvula. RNAcentral describes it as "bacterial SSU rRNA". It matches the Rfam family "Bacterial small subunit ribosomal RNA", at positions 38 to 435 of the family's 1533-position model. Lineage: Bacteria; Bacillati; Bacillota; Negativicutes; Veillonellales; Veillonellaceae. The record is from RNAcentral.